AAUGAUACGCAAUUCUCAUGCAUGUUCAAGACAAAAAAAUCAUGUGUACUCUCUUUUUACUUAAGUAAUAUGUAUAUAUAUCUUGUUAAUCAUUAUUGACUUGAAGAAUUUCUUCAGAGUGCUACUUUUACCUAGCAUAUUAAUGAAAACUAUUCAUUUUCAGGAUUCGUCAUCGACUCGAGCCAGGUGAGGGUUCAGCGUGGAGGUUCGUCGAGGUCUGCUACUAGUAGCUCUCGUCGCUUCACUCAAGAUCCAGCAGAAGUGGAGCAACUGCGAGAAGAACUUAUGCAACAUCAGGAUUACUUGAAGCAACAAGCUGCGCAACAUGAAUAUUAUGCUACACAGAUUCGACAACAGCAAACACUCAUACAACAACUAGCACAGGCCCAAGGGAUACACGUCCUGGUGCCCCCCACCUCUCGUUCAUUAUCCUUGGUCUUCACCUCCACCUAUACCUACAUCUCCAUCUACCGAACAUCAGACCCCUCCAGCUACCUUGCCAACGCAUGAACGAGAAGAUAGGUUAGACUUUGUCGAAACCCUCUUCGCUAGUGGAGGUAUCGACCAUCACUCGUCACUGUAACCCGAUGGUGAUCGGCGACCGUGAGGUUCCAUGUUAUUGUGUUCUGAUACUUGAGACUUUUAUUAUGACUAUGUAUGAGAUAUUGUCUCUUAUUAGUACUGGAUGAUGAGAUGUGUCUUAUUAUGACUAUGGAUGAGACUUUUGUGAUGUAAUUGAUGAGACUAUGGAUGAGACUUUU
Zea mays is the source of this 761-nucleotide long non-coding RNA. RefSeq lists it as uncharacterized. The record is from RefSeq and is a predicted model, not a curated record. The transcript has 3 exons. NCBI's taxonomy places the organism in Eukaryota, Viridiplantae, Streptophyta, Magnoliopsida, Poales, Poaceae.